AUUCAAUCAAGACUUUUUUAAAGU
RNAcentral lists this non-coding RNA (24 nucleotides) under Arabidopsis thaliana (thale cress). Lineage: Eukaryota; Viridiplantae; Streptophyta; Magnoliopsida; Brassicales; Brassicaceae. The record is from RNAcentral.